UGUGUUAGUGGAAGCGUCUGGAAAGGCGCGCGAUACAGGGUGACAGCCCCGUACACAAAAAUGCACAUGCUGUGAGCUCGAUGAGUAGGGCGGGACACGUGGUAUCCUGUCUGAAUAUGGGGGGACCAUCCUCCAAGGCUAAAUACUCCUGACUGACCGAUAGUGAACCAGUACCGUGAGGGAAAGGCGAAAAGAACCCCGGCGAGGGGAGUGAAAAAGAACCUGAAACCGUGUACGUACAAGCAGUGGGAGCACGCUUAGGCGUGUGACUGCGUACCUUUUGUAUAAUGGGUCAGCGACUUAUAUUCUGUAGCAAGGUUAACCGAAUAGGGGAGCCGAAGGGAAACCGAGUCUUAACUGGGCGUUAAGUUGCAGGGUAUAGACCCGAAACCCGGUGAUCUAGCCAUGGGCAGGUUGAAGGUUGGGUAACACUAACUGGAGGACCGAACCGACUAAUGUUGAAAAAUUAGCGGAUGACUUGUGGCUGGGGGUGAAAGGCCAAUCAAACCGGGAGAUAGCUGGUUCUCCCCGAAAGCUAUUUAGGUAGCGCCUCGUGAAUUCAUCUCCGGGGGUAGAGCACUGUUUCGGCAAGGGGGUCAUCCCGACUUACCAACCCGAUGCAAACUGCGAAUACCGGAGAAUGUUAUCACGGGAGACACACGGCGGGUGCUAACGUCCGUCGUGAAGAGGGAAACAACCCAGACCGCCAGCUAAGGUCCCAAAGUCAUGGUUAAGUGGGAAACGAUGUGGGAAGGCCCAGACAGCCAGGAUGUUGGCUUAGAAGCAGCCAUCAUUUAAAGAAAGCGUAAUAGCUCACUGGUCGAGUCGGCCUGCGCGGAAGAUGUAACGGGGCUAAACCAUGCACCGAAGCUGCGGCAGCGACGCUGAUGCGUUGUUGGGUAGGGGAGCGUUCUGUAAGCCUGUGAAGGUGUGCUGUGAGGCAUGCUGGAGGUAUCAGAAGUGCGAAUGCUGACAUAAGUAACGAUAAAGCGGGUGAAAAGCCCGCUCGCCGGAAGACCAAGGGUUCCUGUCCAACGUUAAUCGGGGCAGGGUGAGUCGACCCCUAAGGCGAGGCCGAAAGGCGUAGUCGAUGGGAAACAGGUUAAUAUUCCUGUACUUGGUGUUACUGCGAAGGGGGGACGGAGAAGGCUAUGUUGGCCGGGCGACGGUUGUCCCGGUUUAAGCGUGUAGGCUGGUUUUCCAGGCAAAUCCGGAAAAUCAAGGCUGAGGCGUGAUGACGAGGCACUACGGUGCUGAAGCAACAAAUGCCCUGCUUCCAGGAAAAGCCUCUAAGCAUCAGGUAACAUCAAAUCGUACCCCAAACCGACACAGGUGGUCAGGUAGAGAAUACCAAGGCGCUUGAGAGAACUCGGGUGAAGGAACUAGGCAAAAUGGUGCCGUAACUUCGGGAGAAGG
This 1416-nucleotide ribosomal RNA is filed under the name Escherichia coli. RNAcentral describes it as "partial 23S ribosomal RNA". It matches the Rfam family "Bacterial large subunit ribosomal RNA", at positions 325 to 1746 of the family's 2925-position model. The record is from RNAcentral. Lineage: Bacteria; Pseudomonadati; Pseudomonadota; Gammaproteobacteria; Enterobacterales; Enterobacteriaceae.